AUACGGAGGGUGCAAACGUUGCUCGGAAUUACUGGGCGUAAAGCGCGCGUAGGCGGUUUAUCAAGUUGGGUGUGAAAGCCCUGGGCUCAACCCAGGAAGUGCAUUCAAAACUGGUAAACUUGAGUCUCGGAGGGGGUCAGGGAAUUCCCGGUGUAGAGGUGAAAUUCGUAGAUAUCGGGAGGAACACCAGUGGCGAAGGCGCUGACCUGGACGAUGACUGACGCUGAGGCGCGAAAGCAUGGGGAGCAAACAGGAUUAGAAACCCCGGUAGUCC
Molecule: ribosomal RNA, 274 nt
Filed under: uncultured bacterium
Lineage: Bacteria
Description: partial 16S ribosomal RNA
Rfam family: Bacterial small subunit ribosomal RNA
Source: RNAcentral